Molecule: transfer RNA, 91 nt
Filed under: Holosporales bacterium
Lineage: Bacteria; Pseudomonadati; Pseudomonadota; Alphaproteobacteria; Holosporales
Description: tRNA-Ser
Rfam family: tRNA
About the family: Transfer RNA (tRNA) molecules are approximately 80 nucleotides in length. Their secondary structure includes four short double-helical elements and three loops (D, anti-codon, and T loops). Further hydrogen bonds mediate the characteristic L-shaped molecular structure. tRNAs have two regions of fundamental functional importance: the anti-codon, which is responsible for specific mRNA codon recognition, and the 3' end, to which the tRNAs corresponding amino acid is attached (by aminoacyl-tRNA synthetases). tRNAs cope with the degeneracy of the genetic code in two manners: having more than one tRNA (with a specific anti-codon) for a particular amino acid; and 'wobble' base-pairing, i.e. permitting non-standard base-pairing at the 3rd anti-codon position.
Source: RNAcentral
GGAGAGGUGCCAGAGUGGUUGAUCGGGGCGGUCUCGAAAACCGUUGUACGCUAGUAGCGUACCGAGGGUUCAAAUCCCUCUCUCUCCGCCA